Molecule: long non-coding RNA, 259 nt
Organism: Hippocampus comes (tiger tail seahorse)
Lineage: Eukaryota; Metazoa; Chordata; Actinopteri; Syngnathiformes; Syngnathidae
Exons: 2
Source: RefSeq, a predicted model, not a curated record
UUUGGAGUGAAAAGACGGCAUCGGAGCACACGGAUCUCACCCGUGUGGCGGGGACUCAAACGGCUUUCCAUAUUCGGCUCCCUCAGUCGACUUGCCCGUUGACGCCCCGUACGUUUGUGCGUGCAGUUGCAGAGCAGUUUGUCGCAAAAGUCGGAGAGGCUGGAAAGCAUCCGGACCUUGAGGAUCGGCCUGGAGCAGCAACUGAGAGAGCUCCACGCCGCCAAGAGUGCGCUAGAGGGUCAGGUGUUUGAAGAGAAAG